ACACUUGUUUUUGGAUGAGCUAGAGGUUCUCAAAUCAAAAUUUAGCUUAAUUGGAGUUUUGUAAUAAAAGUUAUUCCAAUUGAAAGGUACUAAGCUUGUUGGUUUUUAAAACAGAUUUUGUCUCAUUUUUACUUAACUUCCAGGUAAUGUAACUUUUUCAUUAAAAAUGGUAUUGACUCAGAACCAAUUGAGAAAGAAACCUGGAUGAGUAAAGUUUAACUACAUUAAUUUUCAAAGUCAUUGGAUUUAACUUGGAUUUUUUAUUGAAUUUUGAAUAUCACAUACUGCUGCUGUUUUUUUGGUUUUAUGCACUGCAGAGCAGUCACGGUUUUUCCUUUAUUCCUGAGGCUAGAAAAAUCAGAAAAUUAUGAUAUUUAGUUUGUUAGAAAUCUUAUUUCAAUAUGAACGCCUGGACAUAAAGUUUGUGCAAUUCCGAGUUCAUUUGCUAUAUUAGAAACAGAAAAGAAAAUAGAGUGUCGAGGAUGUCUUAGUGAUAGUCAUGAGUUCGAGAAGUUAAAGUUCAAUCCUCGUGUGAUGUGAUUGAUUUAAUGUUAGAGUUGGGUUGAUUUUAAUAUUAUUCAAUAUUAAGAAGGAUGAGAAGAGUUUGAUAAAAAGUUUGGUCAGGACCCGGAAAGGGUAAUCAAGAUGAAUUAUAAGGGAAUGACGAUGAAGAAUGUGAAAGUGAGGUUGUUAAUAAAAGGAGUUAAUAUGCCAUGGCUUGAUGAAUGAUUAAAUAAUGAUUAUGACUAUGAAAUGGCUUAUGAAUAAUGCUAUCUGAGAUACGAGUUCCCUGGGUAAGAGCCGUGGCUCGCCAUCACGUGUUCCAGGUUGAAUCUCGAUACUCUGUUGACCCUACGUCGUAAGGGUGACCGGGCACGUAUAAAUUUCCGGGUAUGGAUAGCCCCCAUUGAGUGAUUUUAUGAAAUAUGAAUGUGAACUCUAUGCAUAGACUCUUGGGGAUGCGCGACGGGGGACAGUCUAAGGUUUUCGGACUUGUCGGGUUGGCUGGAUAAUCGACAGAUGGGCUCCAUCAGCCAUAGGACAGGCAUGCAUCAUAUGCAUUUGUUUGUAUUGAUUGCUAUGCAUUUUUUUGGGUAUGCCUAAUUGAUAUAUAUUACCUGCUAUUUGUUAUAUUUGCUAUUUGUACUAUUUGAUCAUUACUUGUGCGUGAACUUGUUUGGUUGCUUGUUUCUGUUACAUUCUGAAUGAUGAAAGGAUGGAGGAAACGGAGGAAAUGGUUUGGUGUUAGGUUAAGAUUGAACUUGAGUAAGUUAGGCAGAUUUAGAAUACCUACCCCUGUUUAUGGCUUCUGUUUAGUACUUAAGUUGGAUAAUUGAAUAACGGAGUUCUAGGAUUACCUAUGGCAUUCUCA
RNAcentral lists this long non-coding RNA (1372 nucleotides) under Arachis ipaensis. RNAcentral's name for it is "long non-coding RNA (AIPA_LNC002162)". Lineage: Eukaryota; Viridiplantae; Streptophyta; Magnoliopsida; Fabales; Fabaceae. The record is from RNAcentral.